GACGAACGCUGGCGGCGUGCUUAACACAUGCAAGUCGAACGGAAAGGCCCUGCUUUUGUGGGGUGCUCGAGUGGCGAACGGGUGAGUAACACGUGAGUAACCUGCCCUUGACUUUGGGAUAACUUCAGGAAACUGGGGCUAAUACCGGAUAGGAGCUCCUGCUGCAUGGUGGGGGUUGGAAAGUUUCGGCGGUUGGGGAUGGACUCGCGGCUUAUCAGCUUGUUGGUGGGGUAGUGGCUUACCAAGGCUUUGACGGGUAGCCGGCAUGGGAGGGUGACCGGCCACAUUGGGACUGAGAUACGGCCCAGACUCCUACGGGAGGCAGCAGUGGGGAAUAUUGCACAAUGGGCGGAAGCCUGAUGCAGCAACGCCGCGUGCGGGAUGACGGCCUUCGGGUUGUAAACCGCUUUCGCCUGUGACGAAGCGUGAGUGACGGUAAUGGGUAAAGAAGCACCGGCUAACUACGUG
Molecule: ribosomal RNA, 468 nt
Filed under: uncultured bacterium
Lineage: Bacteria
Description: partial 16S ribosomal RNA
Rfam family: Bacterial small subunit ribosomal RNA
Source: RNAcentral